Molecule: ribosomal RNA, 497 nt
Filed under: uncultured bacterium
Lineage: Bacteria
Description: partial 16S ribosomal RNA
Rfam family: Bacterial small subunit ribosomal RNA
Source: RNAcentral
GAUGAACGCUGGCGGCGUGCCUAAUACAUGCAAGUCGAGCGAACAGAUAAGGAGCUUGCUCCCUUGACGUUAGCGGCGGACGGGUGAGUAACACGUGGGUAACCUACCUAUAAGACUGGAAUAACUCCGGGAAACCGGGGCUAAUGCCGGAUAACAUUUAGAACCGCAUGGUUCUAAAGUGAAAGAUGGUUUUGCUAUCACUUAUAGAUGGACCCGCGCCGUAUUAGCUAGUUGGUAAGGUAACGGCUUACCAAGGCAACGAUACGUAGCCGACCUGAGAGGGUGAUCGGCCACACUGGAACUGAGACACGGUCCAGACUCCUGCGGGAGGCAGCAGUAGGGAAUCUUCCGCAAUGGGCGAAAGCCUGACGGAGCAACGCCGCGUGAGUGAUGAAGGUCUUCGGAUCGUAAAACUCUGUUAUUAGGGAAGAACAAAUGUGUAAGUAACUGUGCACGUCUUGACGGUACCUAAUCAGAAAGCCACGGCUAACUACGUG